CCUACGGGAGGCAGCAGUGAGGAAUAUUGGUCAAUGGGCGGAAGCCUGAACCAGCCAAGCCGCGUGAGGGAGGAAGGUACAGAGUAUCGUAAACCUCUUUUGUCAGGGAACAAAGGCGGGGACGUGUCCCCGGAUGAGUGUACCUGAAGAAAAAGCAUCGGCUAACUCCGUGCCAGCAGCCGCGGUAAUACGGAGGAUGCGAGCGUUAUCCGGAUUUAUUGGGUUUAAAGGGUGCGCAGGCGGUCUGUUAAGUCAGCGGUCAAAGCCCGGGGCUCAACCCCGGCCCGCCGUUGAAACUGGCAGUCUCGAGUUGGAGAGAAGUAUGCGGAAUGCGCGGUGUAGCGGUGAAAUGCAGAGAUAUCGCGCAGAACUCCGAUUGCGAAGGCAGCAUGCCGGCUCCACACUGACGCUGAGGCACGAAAGCGUGGGUAUCGAACAGGAUUAGAUACCCUUGUAGUC
RNAcentral lists this ribosomal RNA (459 nucleotides) under uncultured bacterium. Its description in RNAcentral is "partial 16S ribosomal RNA". It matches the Rfam family "Bacterial small subunit ribosomal RNA", at positions 338 to 795 of the family's 1533-position model. The record is from RNAcentral.